This 529-nucleotide ribosomal RNA is filed under the name uncultured bacterium. RNAcentral's name for it is "bacterial SSU rRNA". It matches the Rfam family "Bacterial small subunit ribosomal RNA", at positions 777 to 1304 of the family's 1533-position model. The record is from RNAcentral.
AAUAGAUACCCCGGUAGUCCAUGCCGUAAACGUUGGGAACUAGAUGUAGGGCCUGUUCCACGGGUUCUGUGUCGUAGCUAACGCAUUAAGUUCCCCGCCUGGGGAGUACGGCCGCAAGGCUAAAACUCAAAGGAAUUGACGGGGGCCCGCACAAGCGGCGGAGCAUGCGGAUUAAUUCGAUGCAACGCGAAGAACCUUACCAAGGCUUGACAUAUAGCAGAACACCGUAGAAAUACGGGACUCUUUGGACACUGUUAUACAGGUGGUGCAUGGUUGUCGUCAGCUCGUGUCGUGAGAUGUUCGGUUAAGUCCGGCAACGAGCGCAACCCUCGUCCUAUGUUGCCAGCACGUUAUGGUGGGAACUCAUGGGAUACUGCCGUGGUCAACACGGAGGAAGGUGGGGAUGACGUCAAAUCAUCAUGCCCCUUAUGUCUUGGGCUUCACGCAUGCUACAAUGGCCGAUACAAUGGGCUGCGAUACCGCGAGGUGGAGCGAAUCCCAAAAAGUCGGUCUCAGUUCGGAUUGGGGU